This 305-nucleotide long non-coding RNA is filed under the name Linum usitatissimum (flax). RNAcentral's name for it is "long non-coding RNA (LUSI_LNC004142)". Lineage: Eukaryota; Viridiplantae; Streptophyta; Magnoliopsida; Malpighiales; Linaceae. The record is from RNAcentral.
GUGGUCUCUUCAGUAAGAUCAAGGGCAUCAAAUGGUUCAAACCCAAAUCCAGUAAGAAGAGCAGCUCCACUUCAGCUACCUCUGCGUAAGCCCUAAGCUUGCUGCAGCUGCAAUCAAACUGCUACCCUCCAUUUGUACUCCAAUUCUUUGCAUCUCUUCUUCUUUCUCCAUUUCUUUGUAUCUCUCUCAAUGUACCCUUGAUUUUGUUUGUAUGCAAAUACUACUUUCUUUGCUCAGAUUAGAUAACUUUUCUACAACUAGCACAUAGAAACACAACUCUACUAUGAUUAAGUUUGUGUUUUUAG